Molecule: ribosomal RNA, 447 nt
Filed under: uncultured bacterium
Lineage: Bacteria
Description: bacterial SSU rRNA
Rfam family: Bacterial small subunit ribosomal RNA
Source: RNAcentral
UGGGGAAUCUUGGACAAUGGGCGAAAGCCUGACCCAGCAACGCCGCGUGAAGGAUGAAGUAUUUCGGUAUGUAAACUUCGAAAGAAUAGGAAGAAUAAAUGACGGUACUAUUUAUAAGGUCCGGCUAACUACGUGCCAGCAGCCGCGGUAAUACGUAGGGACCAAGCGUUGUUCGGAUUUACUGGGCGUAAAGGGCGCGUAGGCGGCAAUUCAAGUCAUCUGUGAAAUCUCCGGGCUUAACUCGGAACGGUCAGAUGAUACUGCUUUGCUAGAGUGCAGAAGGGGCAAUCGGAAUUCUUGGUGUAGCGGUGAAAUGCGUAGAUAUCAAGAGGAACACCUGAGGUGAAGACGGGUUGCUGGGCUGACACUGACGCUGAGGCGCGAAAGCCAGGGGAGCAAACAGGAUUAGAUACCCCAGUAGUCCCUGAGCGGGCUGGCAAGGCGCAU